Glossina fuscipes is the source of this 743-nucleotide long non-coding RNA. RefSeq lists it as uncharacterized. The transcript is spliced from 2 exons. The record is from RefSeq and is a predicted model, not a curated record. Lineage: Eukaryota; Metazoa; Arthropoda; Insecta; Diptera; Glossinidae.
AGGGAAAUUGAGUAAGAAGGAGAAGUCUGUCUGCGUUUUAAAAUUUAAGUCAGAGGGGAUAGUUUUAAGUUGAGUUGAGUUCUAGGCAGUGGGGAUCUGAGAGUUGAAGGGUGAACGUCAAUAAGUGCUCUUGCUAUUGUUUUUUUGAUUAUAUAUUACCUAAAAAAAAAAAAAAAACUUAACCUGACAGACAUUAAAUAGAAUUGUGAGUAAAUCGUGUAACAACGCGUACAAACAUUCAGUUUGCAACAACUUACGGGUUAAACAAAAAUCUCUACCUCUGUAAAUAUUGAUGAAAAGGAAACAAGCAAAAAUUUAUUUAAAAAUUUUCAAAUUUAUUGUGUAAUGUUCUCGGGCUACGAUUAGAAGAGAAAAACAAAAAUCAAUUACUUAGUCAAUUCUUAUAUAUGUGUGCACAUGCUUUUCCUCAAAGAGAACAAAAGCAAAAUAGAAUCGUUGUGCAAUCGAGAUCAAUCGAGAAAUAUGAAUAGACAAAAGACCACAUAAGGCAGCUUGAAACUGUUCGUUAGCGUUGGUCCUAAAGUCGCGUUCGAGCGAAAUCCAAGUAUACGUUUAAUGAAGGAAAAUAUUCUAAUUUUAUAUUGAGUGACAUUUAACAGAAAAAUUCAUCCAAAUUCUGGAUCUGAUAAUAAUAACGAAAGUCGUGUACUUGUCACAUUUUGAUAAUCAAUUCAAUAAUUUUUUUAUUUGAAUAUCAAAAAAAGAAAAAAAAGGAAAAGGAA